GAUGAAGAACGCAGCGAAUUGCGAUAUGUAAUGUGAAUUGCAGAUUUUCAGUGAAUCAUCGAAUCUUUGAACGCACAUUGCGCCCCUUGGUAUUCCAUGGGGCAUGCCUGUUCGAGCGUCAUUUGUACCCUCAAGCUAUGCUUGGUGUUGGGUGUUUGUCCUCUCCUUUUGCGAUUGGACUCGCCUUAAAGACAUUGGCAGCCAGUGUAUUGGUCUUGAAGCGCAGCACAUUUUGCGAUUCUUGCUGAUAAUCACUAGCGUCCAGUAAGCCUAUUUUAACACUUUUGACCUCGGAUCAGGUAGGGAUACCCGCUGAACUUAAGCAUAUCAAUAAGCGGAGGA
Molecule: unclassified non-coding RNA, 342 nt
Filed under: soil metagenome
Description: partial contains 5.8S ribosomal RNA, internal transcribed spacer 2, and large subunit ribosomal RNA
Rfam family: 5.8S ribosomal RNA (bases 1-121)
Source: RNAcentral